This 253-nucleotide ribosomal RNA is filed under the name uncultured bacterium. RNAcentral's name for it is "partial 16S ribosomal RNA". It matches the Rfam family "Bacterial small subunit ribosomal RNA", at positions 524 to 776 of the family's 1533-position model. The record is from RNAcentral.
UACAGAGGGGGCAAGCGUUGUUCGGAAUUACUGGGCGUAAAGGGCGCGUAGGCGGCCUGCUAAGUCGAACGUGAAAUCCCUGGGCUCAACCCAGGAACUGCGUCCGAUACUGGUUGGCUUGAAUCCGGGAGAGGGAUGCGGAAUUCCAGGUGUAGCGGUGAAAUGCGUAGAUAUCUGGAGGAACAUCGGUGGCGAAGGCGGCAUCCUGGACCGAUAUUGACGCUGAGGCGCGAAAGCCAGGGGAGCAAACGGG